Molecule: ribosomal RNA, 497 nt
Filed under: uncultured bacterium
Lineage: Bacteria
Description: partial 16S ribosomal RNA
Rfam family: Bacterial small subunit ribosomal RNA
Source: RNAcentral
GAUGAACGCUGGCGGCGUGCCCAAUACAUGCAAGUCGAGCGAACAGACGAGGAGCUUGCUCCUCUGACGUUAGCGGCGGACGGGUGAGUAACACGUGGAUAACCUACCUAUAAGACUGGGAUAACUUCGGGAAACCGGAGCUAAUACCGGAUAAUAUAUUGAACCGCAUGGUUCAAUAGUGAAAGACGGUUUUGCUGUCACUUAUAGAUGGAUCCGCGCCGCAUUAGCUAGUUGGUAAGGUAACGGCUUACCAGGGCAACGAUGCGUAGCCGACCUGAGAGGGUGAUCGGCCACACUGGAACUGAGACACGGUCCAGACUCCUACGGGAGGCAGCAGUAGGGAAUCUUCCGCAAAGGGCGAAAGCCUGACGGAGCAACGCCGCGUGAGUGAUGAAGGUCUUCGGAUCGUAAAACUCUGUUAUUAGGGAAGAACAAAUGUGUAAGUAACUAUGCACGUCUUGACGGUACCUAAUCAGAAAGCCACGGCUAACUACGUG